UACGAAGGUCCCAAGCGUUGUUCGGAAUCACUGGGCGUAAAGGGCGCGUAGGCGGCGUGGUAAGUCAGAUGUGAAAGCCCGGAGCUCAACUCCGGAACUGCCUUUAAGACUGCAUCGCUUGAAUCCAGGAGAGGUGAGUGGAAUUCCGAGUGUAGAGGUGAAAUUCGUAGAUAUUCGGAAGAACACCAGUGGCGAAGGCGGCUCACUGGACGACUGUUGACGCUGAGGUGCGAAAGCGUGGGGAGCAAACAGG
RNAcentral lists this ribosomal RNA (253 nucleotides) under uncultured bacterium. Its description in RNAcentral is "partial 16S ribosomal RNA". It matches the Rfam family "Bacterial small subunit ribosomal RNA", at positions 524 to 776 of the family's 1533-position model. The record is from RNAcentral.